UAUUUCCUACGGGGGGCAGCAGUGAAGAAUAUUGGUCAAUGGGCGCGCGCCUGAACCAGCCAAGUCGCGUGAAGGAUGACUGCCCUACGGGUUGUAAACUUCUUUUAUAAAGGAAUAAAGUGAGGCACGUGUGCCUUUUUGUAUGUAUUUUAUGAAUAAGGAUCGGCUAACUCCGUGCCAGCAGCCGCGGUAAUACGGAGGAUCCGAGCGUUAUCCGGAUUUAUUGGGUUUAAAGGGAGCGUAGAUGGGUUGUUAAGUCAGUUGUGAAAGUUUGCGGCU
This 279-nucleotide ribosomal RNA is filed under the name uncultured bacterium. RNAcentral describes it as "partial 16S ribosomal RNA". It matches the Rfam family "Bacterial small subunit ribosomal RNA", at positions 333 to 609 of the family's 1533-position model. The record is from RNAcentral.